GAUGAACGCUGGCGGCGUGCCUAAUACAUGCAAGUCGAGCGAACAGAUGAGGAGCUUGCUCCUCUGACGUUAGCGGCGGACGGGUGAGUAACACGUGGAUAACCUACCUAUAAGACUGGGAUAACUUCGGGAAACCGGAGCUAAUACCGGAUAAUAUAUUGAACCGCAUGGUUCAAUAGUGAAAGACGGUUUUGCUGUCACUUAUAGAUGGAUCCGCGCCGCCUUAGCUAGUUGGUAAGGUAACGGCUUACCAAGGCGACGAUGCGUAGCCGACCUGAGAGGGGGAUCGGCCACACGGGAACUGAGACACGGACAAGACGCCUACGGGAGGCAGCAGUAGGGUAUGUGACGCAGUGGGCGGAAGCCUGACGGAGCAACGCCGCGUGAGUGAUGAAGGUCUUCGGAGCGUAAAACUCUGUUAUUAGGGAAGAACAAAUGUGUAAGUAACUAUGCACGUCUUGACGGUACCUGAUCAGAAAGCCACGGCUAACUACGUG
RNAcentral lists this ribosomal RNA (497 nucleotides) under uncultured bacterium. Its description in RNAcentral is "partial 16S ribosomal RNA". It matches the Rfam family "Bacterial small subunit ribosomal RNA", at positions 28 to 507 of the family's 1533-position model. The record is from RNAcentral.